Oncorhynchus mykiss (rainbow trout) is the source of this 1175-nucleotide non-coding RNA. NCBI's taxonomy places the organism in Eukaryota, Metazoa, Chordata, Actinopteri, Salmoniformes, Salmonidae. The record is from RefSeq and is a predicted model, not a curated record.
GGCUGAGUGGAACUGUGAGAGGAGGAGAAGAGAAGAAAGGAUCAGAUUUGACACAUCAAAGAGGAAAACCAAACUUGGAGAAACCAGAAACGUCCAAACCAGCAAGACAACACCUCUGCUCCCACUGUGGAAAGAGUUUUAACCAGUUCGUUAGCAUGAGAAGACAUGAGAGAAUACACACAGGGGAGAAGCCACACCAUUGCACACAGUGUGGAAAGAGUUUUAACCAGUUAGGAAACAUGAAAUCUCACGAACGAAUACACACAGGGGAGAAGCCUUUCCAUUGCUCCCAGUGUGGAAAGAGUUUUGGAGAGUCAGGAAACCUGAAUGCUCACGAGCGAAUGCACACAGGGGAGAAGCCUUACCACUGCUCCCACUGCGGAAAGCGUUUUAACCAUUCAGGAAAGCUGAAAGAACACAUGAGACUGCACAAAGAGGAGAACCCUUACAAAUGCUCAGACUGUGGGAAGACAUAUUACUCAUCAUGGUCACUUAAACGUCAUGUGAGAAUCCACACGGGAGAAUAAUUACUUCUCUUAGUGUGUAGGUUUUUCACAUCACGUUGACUUAAAAUUCAUCAGAGAACAUACACAGUGGUCCCGUUGUCUUAUAUUGUUGACUGAGAAUGUGUUUACUUGUUUAUACCAGAUGAAAUUGAAUUGUACAAAGUAUACUUAAACAUAUUUGUGUGUUUUUAUUAGAAAACAUGAAUUGAGUAUGUAAGUUUGAAUAGAGAGUUGUAUAUUAUUUUUUAAACUCUUUGUGUUUAUCUGGGUGUGUCAUUCCUCCAGCACUACAGAUAAUCAAGUGAUAUCUGGAUGUGAUGCAUUAGUUCCAUUGUUGACAUUUGCAUUGUUGGCCCACUGAUGAUUUAAUGAAAUGAAAAUGUUCAGACUCUGUAAUGGAAAAUGUUAAUUGUUUGUGUGUCCACAUAACUGAGUAUGUGACUAACCUUGUGAAACUGUCCUAUUAUAAUCUCCUGUUCUUGGGAGUAUCAUCCUGUGUUGCAAACCAAUUUGCACCUGUGUCCUUGUAUGAAUAAAGUCCCGCCCAGGAAUAGGAAACUAUAAAGAUAUGUGCUCAUCACCCAACGCUUCAGGAAUUCAGACUGUCUACACUGCGCUGUGUAACUCUGUUAUUCUCUCUGAGCUCAGAAAUAAAGAAUCUUGGUUUGA